GGGGCGCACCAGGCGCGAAAACUUUACAAUGCCGGCAACGGCGAUAAGGGAACCUCGAGUGCCAGGUUACAAAUCUGGCUGUCGUGAUGCCUAAAAAGCAUUGCAUAGCAAGGGCCGGGCAAGACCGGUGCCAGCCGCCGCGGUAACACCGGCGGCUCGAGUGGUAACCGUUAUUAUUGGGUCUAAAGGGUCUGUAGCCGGCCGGGUAAGUCUCUUGGGAAAUCUGGCAGCUUAACUGUCAGGCUUUCAGGAGAUACUGCCUGGCUCGAGGCCGGGAGAGGUGAGAGGUACUUCAGGGGUAGGGGUGAAAUCUUGUAAUCCUUGAAGGACCACCAGUGGCGAAGGCGUCUCACCAGAACGGACCUGACGGCAAGGGACGAAAGCUAGGGGCACGAACCGGAUUAGAUACCCGGGUAGUCCUAGCCGUAAACGAUACUCGCUAGGUGUCGGCCACGGUGCGACCGUGGUCGGUGCCGUAGGGAAGCCGUGAAGCGAGCCACCUGGGAAGUACGGCCGCAAGGCUGAAACUUAAAGGAAUUGGCGGGGGAGCACAAGGGCGAAUG
Molecule: ribosomal RNA, 563 nt
Filed under: uncultured archaeon
Lineage: Archaea
Description: bacterial SSU rRNA
Rfam family: Archaeal small subunit ribosomal RNA
Source: RNAcentral